Molecule: ribosomal RNA, 311 nt
Filed under: uncultured eukaryote
Lineage: Eukaryota
Description: partial 18S ribosomal RNA
Rfam family: Eukaryotic small subunit ribosomal RNA
Source: RNAcentral
CCCCUAGACGUUCUGGGCUGCACGCGCGCUACAAUAAUACGCACAGCGAGUAUCACCGAGCUCGAAAGGGCAAGGUAAACAAUAGAAAAGGUACUGUAAUGGUUAUAGAUCCUUGUAAUUAUUGAUCUUCAACGAGGAAUUCCUAGUAAGUAUGUGUCAUCAUCACGCACUGAUUACGUCCCUGCCCUUUGUACACACCGCCCGUCGCUCCUACCGAUUGAGUGAGCCGAUGAAACUGCCGGAUGUGGACUAUUCAUAGUCUGCAGAAGAUAUUUGAAUCGUAGCGCUUAGAGGAAGGAGAAGUCGCAACA